This 359-nucleotide ribosomal RNA is filed under the name uncultured bacterium. RNAcentral's name for it is "bacterial SSU rRNA". It matches the Rfam family "Archaeal small subunit ribosomal RNA", at positions 723 to 1080 of the family's 1478-position model. The record is from RNAcentral.
AGCGAAUAGAUACCCGGGUAGUCCCAGCCGUAAACGAUGCGCGUUAGGUGUAUCGGUGACCACGAGUCACCGAGGUGCCGAAAGGGAAAACCGUGAAACGUGCCGCCUGGGAAGUACGGUCGCAAGGCUGAAACUUAAAGGAAUUGGCGGGGGAGCACCACAACAGGUGGAGCCUGCGGUUUAAUCGGACUCAACGCCGGGAACCUCACCGGAUAAGACAGCGGGAUGAUAGCCAGGCUGAAGACUUUGCUUGACUAGCUGAGAGGAGGUGCAUGGCCGUCGUCAGUUCGUACUGUGAAGCAUCCUGUUAAGUCAGGCAACGAGCGAGACCCACGCCAACAGUUGCUAGCAUGUCCUGG